This is a long non-coding RNA of Equus quagga, 525 nucleotides long. RefSeq lists it as uncharacterized. The record is from RefSeq and is a predicted model, not a curated record. NCBI's taxonomy places the organism in Eukaryota, Metazoa, Chordata, Mammalia, Perissodactyla, Equidae. The transcript has 6 exons.
CCCAGGGAAGAGCUGAUGUCGCAGCCCAAGUCUGAACGCAGUCUGGAAGCUGAAUCUCCUCUUGCUAGCACCUCUUUCUCUUUUCACAUAAGACUUUCAACUGAUGGCGGAGACCCAACCACAUUAUGGAAGACAACAGCGAGAGUAUUGCAAAACUGUUUUCUCAGCAUCCUGCUGAUUUAACACCUAUAUAAUUCCUGCACCACACUCUGAUUUUAUUGACUUAGGGUUUCCUUACUGGAACAGUCUACGAAGAAGCAAAUUCAAGUCUCGAAGGCCUGAUAUGAACUACCUGGUCCAGCACUUUCAAUCUAUCUGCUUAAAGAAAAGUCUGAAAACAGUGAAUAUUCCUCAAUUUAGCCAAAGACUGAGUGUCCUCCUAUUUAAAAUGGAGAUAAAAACAUCAUACUUGGACUUCAUCAAACAAUUGUGACAACUACUCAAGAUGAUACCGUAGAAUGUGAUUCACAAAGGAGUAUCAAAUAUUAGAACUCUACUCUGCUAUCCAUUAAUCCACAGAAUUGG